AUACGGAGGAUCCGAGCGUUAUCCGGAUUUAUUGGGUUUAAAGGGAGCGUAGGUGGACAGUUAAGUCAGUUGUGAAAGUUUGCGGCUCAACCGUAAAAUUGCAGUUGAUACUGGCUGUCUUGAGUACAGUAGAGGGGGGCGGAAUUCGUGGUGUAGCGGUGAAAUGCUUAGAUAUCACGAAGAACUCCGAUUGCGAAGGCAGCUCACUGGACUGCAACUGACACUGAUGCUCGAAAGUGUGGGUAUCAAACAGGAUUAGAUACCCUGGUAGUCCACACAGUAAACGAUGAAUACUCGCUGUUUGCGAUAUACAGUAAGCGGCCAAGCGAAAGCAUUAAGUAUUCCACCUGGGGAGUACGCCGGCAACGGUGAAACUCAAAGGAAUUGGCGGGG
This 393-nucleotide ribosomal RNA is filed under the name uncultured bacterium. RNAcentral describes it as "partial 16S ribosomal RNA". It matches the Rfam family "Bacterial small subunit ribosomal RNA", at positions 523 to 918 of the family's 1533-position model. The record is from RNAcentral.